CAGCCGCCGCGGUAAUACCGGCGGCCCGAGUGGCGGUCACUAUUAUUGGGCUUAAAGCGUCCGUAGCCGGGUUGGGAAGUCCUCCGGGGAAUCUGGCCGCUUAACGGUCAGAAUGCCGGAGGAUACUCCCAGCCUAGGGAGCGGGAGAGGCCGAGGGUAUUCCCGGGGUAGGGGUGAAAUCCUAUAAUCCCGGGAGGGCCACCUGUGGCGAAGGCGCUCGGCUGGAACGGGUCCGACGGUGAGGGACGAAGGCCAGGGGAGCAAACCGGAUUAGAUACCCGGGUAGUCCUGGCUGUAAACGAUGCGGACUUUGUGUCGGACAAGCUAUGAGCUUGUCCGGUGCCGGAGGGAAACCGUUAAGUCCGCCGCCUGGGGAGUACGGCCGCAAGGCUGAAACUUAAAGGAAUUGGCGGG
This 414-nucleotide ribosomal RNA is filed under the name uncultured microorganism. RNAcentral's name for it is "bacterial SSU rRNA". It matches the Rfam family "Archaeal small subunit ribosomal RNA", at positions 459 to 872 of the family's 1478-position model. The record is from RNAcentral.